Molecule: ribosomal RNA, 497 nt
Filed under: uncultured bacterium
Lineage: Bacteria
Description: partial 16S ribosomal RNA
Rfam family: Bacterial small subunit ribosomal RNA
Source: RNAcentral
GAUGAACGCUGGCGGCGUGCCUAAUACAUGCAAGUCGAGCGAACAGACGAGGAGCUUGCUCCUCUGACGUUAGCGGCGGACGGGUGAGUAACGCGUGGAUAACCUACCUAUAAGACUGGGAUAACUUCGGGAAACCGGAGCUAAUACCGGAUAAUAUAUUGAACCGCAUGGUUCAAUAGUGAAAGACGGUUUUGCUGUCACUUAUAGAUGGAUCCGCGCCGCAUUAGCUAGUUGGUAAGGUAACGGCUUACCAAGGCGACGAUGCGUAGCCGACCUGAGAGGGUGAUCGGCCACACUGGAACUGAGACACGGUCCAGACUCCUACGGGAGGCAGCAGUAGGGAAUCUUCCGCAAUGGGCGAAAGCCUGACGGAGCAACGCCGCGUGAGUGAUGAAGGUCUUCGGAUCGUAAAACUCUGUUAUUAGGGAAGAACAAAUGUGUAAGUAACUAUGCACGUCUUGACGGUACCUAAUCAGAAAGCCACGGCUAACUACGUG